Molecule: small RNA, 71 nt
Filed under: Segniliparus rugosus ATCC BAA-974
Lineage: Bacteria; Bacillati; Actinomycetota; Actinomycetes; Mycobacteriales; Segniliparaceae
Description: ASdes TB sRNA
Rfam family: ASdes TB sRNA
Source: Rfam by way of RNAcentral
AAAAGGACCGGAUCGGUCGCCCCGGUCACCACGAGGUAAUCGCGCAGCGCGAUGGCAUGGGCGCCUUCCUC